Molecule: small RNA, 61 nt
Filed under: Pseudomonas sp. FeS53a
Lineage: Bacteria; Pseudomonadati; Pseudomonadota; Gammaproteobacteria; Pseudomonadales; Pseudomonadaceae
Description: Pseudomonas sRNA P36
Rfam family: Pseudomonas sRNA P36
Source: Rfam by way of RNAcentral
CAGGCUGUUACCGCAAAAACCUCUCGUAACAAAAGCCGGGUGAGUCGGUAACGGAAACCCG